Lolium perenne is the source of this 1850-nucleotide non-coding RNA. The record is from RefSeq and is a predicted model, not a curated record. Lineage: Eukaryota; Viridiplantae; Streptophyta; Magnoliopsida; Poales; Poaceae.
UCAAGAGCACGCUCCAAAGCCGUAUCCCCACGUAGACCUUUUUUAUGCAUGAUAUUUUUGCUGGGAGGUGAUUUGAUGCCCAUCCAGUUACGUUCUCUUUCUUCCAACCUUCAGACCAGAACUCAUCUUCCUCUAUCCUCCCCCUCUGCCCAAACCAACCGUGCCCCUCCUGAACUUCCCCCUCCGAUUAGUCGCAGCUGGCCGAUGUCCCUGCGCCGAAGUGGUACUGGGGUGAGGGAGAAGUCAGGCCGGAGGGACGAGCGAGUUUCUAGGUACAUGUUUUAGUUGCUGUUUUUUGGGAUUUGAAGGAGGAGCAGUUGCGUGUCGAGAGGCAGCGACGAGCUUCCUUUUUCUCUGCCGAUUUGAGCCCCUGCUGACUGGAGCAUGGCGGAAGGUCGAUGGGCUAGGCGGGUAGCAGGGGCACAGACUGAACUUGAAGCUCAAGAUCUAGUGGCCCCUCCCUAUCAUGUUUCCACAUCUACAUAUUGCAAAACCUUUGAAAAUUUGGAUGUAGCACGGGCUCGGCAGUGGAUACUAGGUUUGGUUUUAUUGUUUCUGUGAAAGAUUCUCGAGCUAAGCUAAUUUGAUUAGUUGUAUAUGUGAUGGAUUUUUCACCUUGUUUGCUUGAUGCCAUUUUAAUUGAUCUAUAUCGUAUCGAUCAAUGAGCUUCAAGCCUUUUGGGCGCAGGCUUCAGUAUUUUCUUUUAUGGAUCCUGGACAAAUUAAUAUUUUGCCAUUUCAUUACAGAUUGAGCAGCAAUUUGUCUUUGAUAAGUUGAGGCACGCACGAGGUUGUCCUUGUUUUUUUCUUCGAUCUGGUUUUCCUUCACCCCUUUUCUCUAAUCUUGAUUUUUCCUGUGUUUCUGAUCUAGAUUCCUUGUUCAUUUUCUUUGCAUCGCGGAGAACAUGAACAAUCGUACAGCAGUUGUCUAGAAUUGUCAAUGUUUUUUUUUCCAGUGAUUAAAACUAUCUACCUUUAUUUGGUUAACCUCAUAAUACGAUUAGUUUAACCCGUUUAACAUCUGCUACUAGUUGUUUAUACUCAGUAGUACAAGAAUUACAUUUCGAUCCUUACAAGCCAAGAAAACUAUACCUGAAUAUGUGACCCUUUCGUGUCUGCUUCUAGUAUCUGCCCCAUAUUCUUUUCAAUUUUCAUGUAUGUGUAAUAAAUUGAGUGAUUCAGCUCUGUUUUACGGAUUGAUGAUGAUAUUCAAAAUAUGUGUCAUGUACAUGAGCAAGAAUUGCUGAUCAUGAACAUGAGAAGAACUUUCCAACCGAUCUCUGCCUCGUAGCUUGAAUGGCCUAGCAACAACUUGCUGGAAGGGAGCCUCCUUUCGGAGCUUGCCGAGCACGAGAGCCUCAUGUUGCUCGACCUCCGGAGCCUCACCGGAGGGCUAUCGUAGUUUGUGCAGUGCAUGGCAUCGCCGAAGGACCUGCAGCCAACAACCCGCUCAGAGGGAGCGUAAUGCGCUCCGGCCAGGAGAAGAUGGCGAGCCUGGCCAGGUUGGACAUGUCCAAUGUCAGGCUGGACCUGUCCAAUGUCAGGCUGGUUGGGAGCAUCUGGAGUCCAUGGCGGCGAUGCCCAGGCUGCGGUUCAACCACAACCACAUCUCUGGUGCCAUUUCGGCCACGCUCCUCAUCUUGAUGCCGAGGCAUCUACAUCUUGUAGUUUCUCCCUCUUACGCGUGAUCUUUUUCUCUUCGUGAUGUUUUCGCCAUAGAUGCUAGCUGUACCUUAGUACACAAGUUCACAUGUUUCAAUUCAUGUACGCAACUUCUACUUGUUAUUGCCUAUUCGCACCAUUCUUAUAUGUACAUUCUUAUGCCGACAGAAUUUACAGCACUAGUUUCUU